Molecule: ribosomal RNA, 551 nt
Filed under: Stachybotrys sp. HSf8
Lineage: Eukaryota; Fungi; Ascomycota; Sordariomycetes; Hypocreales; Stachybotryaceae
Description: eukaryotic LSU rRNA
Rfam family: 5.8S ribosomal RNA (bases 159-312)
Source: RNAcentral
AUCGAGUUUCACUCCCAACCCUUAUGUGAACCGUACCUAUCGUUGCUUCGGCGGGAACGCCCCGGCGCCCUGCGCCCGGAUCCAGGCGCCCGCCGGAGACCCCAAACUCUUGUGUUUUUUUCAGUAUUCUCUGAGUGGCAAACGCAAAAAUAAAUCAAAACUUUUAACAACGGAUCUCUUGGCUCUGGCAUCGAUGAAGAACGCAGCGAAAUGCGAUAAGUAAUGUGAAUUGCAGAAUUCAGUGAAUCAUCGAAUCUUUGAACGCACAUUGCGCCCGUUAGCAUUCUAGCGGGCAUGCCUGUCCGAGCGUCAUUUCAACCCUCAGGGUCCCCGUUCCGGCGGGGAACCUGGUGUUGGGGAUCGGCCCGCCCCGCGCGGCGCCGUCCCCCAAAUUCAGUGGCGGUCUCGCUGCAGCCUCCCCUGCGUAGUAGUUACAACCUCGCAUCGGAGCUCAGCGCGGCCACGCCGUAAAACCCCCGACUUUCUGAACGUUGACCUCGGAUCAGGUAGGAAUACCCGCUGAACUUAAGCAUAUCAAUAGCCGGGAGGAA